AGUCCGGGCGCUGCGCUGCGUUCGGCCCGAGCUGUUUGUAAAUUACAUUAGCUGCUCCUUUAUUGCACCCGAACCUCGGGCGACUGAAAAGCCACCGCCCCCACCCCAAACUGCGAGCCGCGCUCCUGGCGCACCCGCCUCCCGCCGGCCUAGCUGCAAUGACCGCACCGGCCCGAAGGUCUCGGUCUCUCCGACCCGGGAUGUGGAGCCCGAAAGAGUGGUGGGAACCCCAGCCCGGGAGGGACGCGGCCGCCGCUCGGGCCAGCCGAUGGGGUGCCAGGCAUUAGAAACCUUCCCUCCAAUCCUCACCAUGUCUCCAUUUUGCCAAAGAAGAAACUGAGGUUAAGGUCGCGAUGCUCUGGCCAGCAUCACAGGUAAACGAUUUUGGCAGUGCCCGGAGAAAGAUAGAAGUAAGACCUAAAGAGGAACUUUCCGCAUGUUAUGGGAGAGCCCCUGGGGCGAGGAGGCGAGGGCAGCCUUCCCCAGGCCAAGGGAGCAGCCAUCGCUCUUGGAUCUGUUUUUCCUCAAGCGUCUGUCCUGUGGGGCCUAGUCCCCAAGCGGCAGUCCUGGACCUAACGGGAGAAGGGGCUGGGGGAAGAGGGCGCACCCCCAGCCCGGGACCCACAGCAGCCCUAGCCAGUCCCCCACUCUCUCCCUCUGUAGGGGCCUCUCUCUGAGAUCGGGUCCUCCUCCUGCAGGGCAGCAGAGUGGAAGCCAGGGCCUGGGACCCUCUGGCUGGGCAAGGAGGGACUGGAGUCCGGCUCCCGGUGACCCCGUCCCCAGUGCCAGCGGUGGGGUCGCCUGUGGCGGCCCGGACAGGCCACGGGUCCCUCUCCCCAAGUCCCAUUACGUUGUAUUUAUGUUUCAUUUUAUAGUUUUUUUUUCCUCCUCCCUUAUUAUUGUCUCACUCUGGGGGAGGCAAAGGAUAUAAUAUAUUCAUCUUUAUUAUACCAAAUCUGUGUGAAGCAUUUAAUAAAACGCUGUUUCCACACAGCCAGGGAUAUUAGUGUGAGCUAUCCUUAAGUUAAUGCUCCUGGACUGAGGGCGCCGCUGCCACAGCGCCUGCUGCCGGCGGGUCGCGGGAAGCGUAGGCCCUGGCCGCCGCGCUCCCCGCGCGGGUCCAACGCCCUGGGUGCCCUUCUCGCCUGCGCCUUGAAGCCCCCACGCCCAUCCUAGCGCGUCUCUCUGUGACCUCUCGGCCGCCAGCCUGGGAGGAGGGGUUUGGAAGAGCCGAAUUCAAGCACCCUUCCUCUCCCCUGCCACACCCUGCAUUUCGAAUCCGCUGUGGGCCUUGGCUUGCAUCUAUGAAAAUGGGAAGAAUUCCAUCACUGCCUCCCUCUCAGGGAUCUUGAGAGGCCGAAGAUGCCUUGAAGGUGGACAGGAUUUUUUAAACAGGAAAGAAAAAAUCGAGAAUUUGUAAGGUCAGGAUCAAUGAGGGCCAGAGAGAAAUAGAGAGGCUGCAGGAGUGGUUUCAGGCAACACAGAGCGAGCUGGACCCCAGGCGAGCAGACAGGGUGCAACUCCAGUUUGGGCAGAACCCAGGAGGUUUCGGCAUGCCUGGGCCUCACCCCAGCCCACGAAGACAGCUGAACCUAGUCAGGAUCUCGGCCUGUCACAGUUGGCCCUCUCAUAAUCCUCCCUCUAGGUAGGAAAAUAGUCUUUUUAAGUCCAGUUUUACAGCUAGCAAACUGAGGCUCACAAAGAUCACGUGGCUUGUUUGAGGUGAACAAACUAGGAAGUAGUGUAGCUGGUCACACUGUCUUCCAGACUCCAUGCCCCUCCCCGCCCCCAUUCUCCAGGGUUUUUCUGUAAACCUUACAUUCUGCCUUCUACACACGCGCGCGCGCACACACACACACACACACACACACACACACAUCCCUACCUGGAGAUGCCCAUGGGAAGGAGAAACACCCUCAUUACUUUCUAUAUCCAGGCCCACUGCUCAGUGUCUUUCAGAGCCCACCACCUGGCUUCUUAUAGGGCCCAGAUCUGGGCACACCAUUCUUACUUAGGCUGCUUGUACCUGUGCUGUAGGGGAGAGGGAGUUGGCUGUAACCAGGCAAAGCCAGGCAGAAGGAGUCAUGCAGGACAGGCUUGAAGUGGGCAGGUGAGUCUCCCUGGCUAGAAUCCAUACUCUCCUAGGAAUCUCAGUCUUCCUCUGCCCCCAUCACCCCAUCCCUGGGAGUGGGGGCUGCACAAGCUCAACACACAUCCUGUAGGCUGCUGGUCAGAGCUCCUUUGGAGACUUAAGUUACUUGAGAAAUCUGACAGUUCCCCCCUGGGGCUGGCUGGGGAGGAGGCACAGACUGUGUGGCAGGGCUAGGACUAGGGUGAGGCAUGUGAGGUGCCAUAUUUAAGGAAGGCAUCUGCUCUCAGCUCUGUGUGUGAUCCCUUAGGUUUUGUGCCGUGGGCAUCUCACUCGCCUCACCCUAGUCCCAGCUCUACUGUGUGGUCUGGGAGUUAGAAUCAAGUCCAGUGAACUGCUGAGAGGGGACAGGGAGGCUGAUUUCAGCUCAUCCUUGAGAAUGGCUUUCUGAAGGAUCAAAGUGGAAACAAUGGAAUGAGCUUCCCCCAACACAUGGAGUAUGCAAGCAGGGCUUAGCGCUUGCUAAGAAGGAAAAUAAUCACGGUCUUAUUGUCAUCACCAAUAUUGUCCUCAUUUGACCAUCACUUUGUGUCAAGUAAAAGCUGUCAUCACAUUGUUUCAUUUAAUGUAUAUAAAUAUGUUUUAGCUGAAUAUGGGAUAUCAGAGUCUCUGACUUUGGGGUCCUUUCCAGCUCCAAGAGUCCAUUGUUGCAUAAGACAAAGAGCACUUCUGUUGAUUUUUGUUGGUUUGAUGCAUUGUCAUUAUUUGUGGACUUAUAGUCUUAUACUAAUGGAUAAGACUUUGAGGGCAGGGACUGUGUCUAAUCACAUUUUUUUAAAUGAUUCCCUCUCCUGUUCCAUGCUGACCACGGGCCUGGGGCACAUAGAAGCUGUUCAAUAAAUGUGUAUCAAACAAACACAUGAGUAA
RNAcentral lists this long non-coding RNA (3016 nucleotides) under Homo sapiens (human). RNAcentral describes it as "HSALNT0359652". The record is from RNAcentral. Lineage: Eukaryota; Metazoa; Chordata; Mammalia; Primates; Hominidae.